RNAcentral lists this ribosomal RNA (962 nucleotides) under Weissella confusa. Its description in RNAcentral is "bacterial SSU rRNA". It matches the Rfam family "Bacterial small subunit ribosomal RNA", at positions 1 to 890 of the family's 1533-position model. The record is from RNAcentral. Lineage: Bacteria; Bacillati; Bacillota; Bacilli; Lactobacillales; Lactobacillaceae.
UUUCUUUAAGUGUGUUUAAGAAGCGUUUAUAUAUGGGGUUUUUUUUUCGUCAGGAUGAACGCUGGCGGCGUGCCUAAUACAUGCAAGUCGAACGCUUUGUGGUUCAACUGAUUUGAAGAGCUUGCUCAGAUAUGACGAUGGACAUUGCAAAGAGUGGCGAACGGGUGAGUAACACGUGGGAAACCUACCUCUUAGCAGGGGAUAACAUUUGGAAACAGAUGCUAAUACCGUAUAACAAUGACAACCGCAUGGUUGUUAUUUAAAAGAUGGUUCUGCUAUCACUAAGAGAUGGUCCCGCGGUGCAUUAGCUAGUUGGUAAGGUAAUGGCUUACCAAGGCGAUGAUGCAUAGCCGAGUUGAGAGACUGAUCGGCCACAAUGGGACUGAGACACGGCCCAUACUCCUACGGGAGGCAGCAGUAGGGAAUCUUCCACAAUGGGCGAAAGCCUGAUGGAGCAACGCCGCGUGUGUGAUGAAGGGUUUCGGCUCGUAAAACACUGUUGUAAGAGAAGAAUGACAUUGAGAGUAACUGUUCAAUGUGUGACGGUAUCUUACCAGAAAGGAACGGCUAAAUACGUGCCAGCAGCCGCGGUAAUACGUAUGUUCCAAGCGUUAUCCGGAUUUAUUGGGCGUAAAGCGAGCGCAGACGGUUAUUUAAGUCUGAAGUGAAAGCCCUCAGCUCAACUGAGGAAUUGCUUUGGAAACUGGAUGACUUGAGUGCAGUAGAGGAAAGUGGAACUCCAUGUGUAGCGGUGAAAUGCGUAGAUAUAUGGAAGAACACCAGUGGCGAAGGCGGCUUUCUGGACUGUAACUGACGUUGAGGCUCGAAAGUGUGGGUAGCAAACAGGAUUAGAUACCCUGGUAGUCCACACCGUAAACGAUGAGUGCUAGGUGUUUGAGGGUUUCCGCCCUUAAGUGCCGCAGCUAACGCAUUAAGCACUCCGCAUGGAGACGCCGACUUGG